This is a non-coding RNA of Cinara cedri, 313 nucleotides long. Lineage: Eukaryota; Metazoa; Arthropoda; Insecta; Hemiptera; Aphididae. The record is from the annotation of a GenBank genome assembly.
GCUGCAACGUUCGUGUUCCUGCGAAGUUUUUUUCUGCAGCAAAUUCAACGACGUGAAUUUAUAUCCGUACGCGCUUAUAUCGUUGCAGGACUGCGGCUAUACAACUGCAGUAUGUUCUUACCCGGUGACGACGCUAAACAACAGUUAAGAUAUUAUUGUAACCUAAUCUAACCUAAUCCGAUACAACAACGCGUAAAGAUCUCAAACCACUCGGAGUAUUUACGAGCCUAAACCCGGACACAAAUUCUUAUCAAAUACAACCGUUUAGUAUGUGCCUUUGCCUACGUUGACACGAAUUUAUUUAUUUUGUAUU